UAGCAAGAUUCUAUCCUAGCUUUUCAAGAGAUGGAGAGGAUUGUGGUUCAAGGCCAGCAUGGGCAAAAGUUUUCAAGCCCCCAUCUCAACUACUAAAAAGCUGAUUGAGCUAAUUGCCAGGUUUGCAGAUGGUUAAGACUGAGAUCACAGUUCCAGUCUAAAAAAAAUAUUCACAAGACCCCAUCACAAUAGCAAAAGUUAGAUGUGGUGUUGCUCACCUGUCAUCCCAGCUAUGGAAGGAAACCUAAAUAGGAAGAUCACAGCAUAGGCCAGCACCCCAGGAAGGCGAGGAAGAAGAAUCAAGACCCUGCCUCAACAAUAAAGCAAAAAGGGCUGGAGGUGUGGUUCAAGAAGUCUAGUUGUAGGCUUCAAGUUUUGAAGUCUCUGACUUCAAAAGCCAGUAACAUAAAACAACAACAUCAGGAAAAGAAAAAGGAAGCAAGAAAGGCAGGGAUUGGAAAGGCCCAUUGAAGGAUCCUGUCUAUCUGCUGCUGCCUCUGGCUUCACUUGUCUUCAGUCUUGAUAGUCGGUCGGAGACCUCCUGUUCUUAACUGUGGGAGAUGGGAAAGCUGCUGGACUCUUUUUACUGGCAGGGCUGGCUGAGGCUGUGGAAACCCUGAGGCCAAGGGUGGCUGAGGUCUUGGAAGGCAAAGGAGCUGGGAAGAAAGGCCGCUUCCAGGGCAAGGCCACCAAGAUGAGCCGGCGGGCAGAGGCAUAGGCGCUUCGGCAGGAUUAUGUCAGCACACAGAGUGCCGAAGAGUGAGGAUCAGCAUGGCUGCCCUGUCCACAGGAAUUUCUCAGACAGUGAAAUAGUUUGACUUAAAAUGGUUUUGCUACCGCCUACAUUAAUGGUGUAACUCUCUCACAGUGUGUGAUUAGUAUCUCUUUGUGAAUAAAGUUUUCCAAUUUGACCCCUAUUAGACAUAA
Long non-coding RNA from Dipodomys spectabilis (banner-tailed kangaroo rat), 927 nucleotides. RefSeq lists it as uncharacterized. NCBI's taxonomy places the organism in Eukaryota, Metazoa, Chordata, Mammalia, Rodentia, Heteromyidae. The transcript has 3 exons. The record is from RefSeq and is a predicted model, not a curated record.